AGCUAGUUGGUAAGGUAACGGCUUACCAAGGCUACGAUGGGUAGGGGUCCUGAGAGGGAGAUCCCCCACACUGGUACUGAGACACGGACCAGACUCCUACGGGAGGCAGCAGUGAGGAAUAUUGGACAAUGGGCGCAAGCCUGAUCCAGCCAUGCCGCGUGCAGGAUGACGGUCCUAUGGAUUGUAAACUGCUUUUAUACGAGAAGAAACACUACUUCGUGAAGUAGCUUGACGGUAUCGUAAGAAUAAGGAUCGGCUAACUCCGUGCCAGCAGCCGCGGUAAUACGGAGGAUCCAAGCGUUAUCCGGAAUCAUUGGGUUUAAAGGGUCCGUAGGCGGUUUAAUAAGUCAGUGGUGAAAGCCCAUCGCUCAACGGUGGAACGGCCAUUGAUACUGUUAGACUUGAAUUAUUAGGAAGUAACUAGAAUAUGUAGUGUAGCGGUGAAAUGCUUAGAGAUUACAUGGAAUACCAAUUGCGAAGGCAGGUUACUACUAAUGGAUUGACGCUG
This 508-nucleotide ribosomal RNA is filed under the name uncultured Bacteroidota bacterium. RNAcentral's name for it is "SSU rRNA". It matches the Rfam family "Bacterial small subunit ribosomal RNA", at positions 243 to 748 of the family's 1533-position model. The record is from RNAcentral. Lineage: Bacteria; Pseudomonadati; Bacteroidota.